CGGCACGCCUUAUACAUGCAAGUCGAACGAAGUAGCAAUACUUAGUGGCAGACGGGUGAGUAACAUGUAGGUAUCUACCCUUUGGUGAGGAAUAACACGAGGAAACUUGUGCUAAUACCUCAUAAGUCUUUACGGAGAAAGCUUUAUGCGCCGAAGGAUGAGCCUGCACUUGAUUAGUUUGUUGGUGGGGUAAUGGCCUACCAAGACUUUGAUCUAUAGCUGAUCUGAGAGGAUGAUCAGCCACAUUGGGACUGAGACACGGCCCAAACUCCUACGGGAGGCAGCAGUAGGGAAUAUUGCACAAUGGAGGAAACUCUGAUGCAGCGAUGCCGCGUGAGUGAAGAAGGCCUUUGGGUUGUAAAGCUCUUUCGUCGGGGAAGAAAAUGACUGUACCCGAAUAAGAAGGUCCGG
RNAcentral lists this ribosomal RNA (411 nucleotides) under uncultured bacterium. RNAcentral's name for it is "bacterial SSU rRNA". It matches the Rfam family "Bacterial small subunit ribosomal RNA", at positions 40 to 496 of the family's 1533-position model. The record is from RNAcentral.